RNAcentral lists this ribosomal RNA (396 nucleotides) under Triticum aestivum (bread wheat). RNAcentral describes it as "partial small subunit ribosomal RNA". The record is from RNAcentral. Lineage: Eukaryota; Viridiplantae; Streptophyta; Magnoliopsida; Poales; Poaceae.
AUGGAGACCACUCCAUCUCCAAAGGCAUCGCAUGCGUUUCUCAGGCUUCGCAAAGGUCUCAAGCCAUCUGUCUCCAUGUUCACCAUUCCAGAAAAAGAUUCACAACAAUCCAGCUCAGUGGCACGUCAAGUGUUCCCUGAAAAGAAUCCUUCUGCGACUGUUCAAGCGUCUGAAGCUAAAGCUGCUAAAGACAUUCCAGCUGCAUCAGCCAAUGAAGAAGAAAGAAGAGAAGAGAGAGAAAGAGAAGCCACACCCCCUAUUGUUGAACAAGUCAUUCUUGAAGAGAAUGUUAUCGUGCCUGACCCUCCGGUCGUUGACCAAAUGGAGGUUGAGAACAAUGAGGCUGCCAAUGACCCUGUCUUGGUUGAAGACCAUGUGGAGCUUGAAGCCAUGUGA